Molecule: ribosomal RNA, 484 nt
Filed under: uncultured bacterium
Lineage: Bacteria
Description: partial 16S ribosomal RNA
Rfam family: Bacterial small subunit ribosomal RNA
Source: RNAcentral
AUUGAACGCUGGCGGCAUGCUUUACACAUGCAAGUCGAACGGCAGCGCGGGCUUCGGCCUGGCGGCGAGUGGCGAACGGGUGAGUAAUACAUCGGAACGUGCCCAGUAGUGGGGGAUAGCUCGGCGAAAGCCGGAUUAAUACCGCAUACGACCUGAGGGUGAAAGCGGGGGAUCUUAGGACCUCGCGCUAUUGGAGCGGCCGAUGGCAGAUUAGCUAGUUGGUGGGGUAAAGGCCUACCAAGGCGACGAUCUGUAGCUGGUCUGAGAGGACGACCAGCCACACUGGGACUGAGACACGGCCCAGACUCCUACGGGAGGCAGCAGUGGGGAAUUUUGGACAAUGGGCGAAAGCCUGAUCCAGCAAUGCCGCGUGUGUGAUGAAGGCCUUCGGGUUGUAAAGCACUUUUGGCGGGAACGAAAAGGACUGUGCCAAUACCACGGUUCGAUGACGGUACCCGCAGAAUAAGCACCGGCUAACUACGUG